Molecule: non-coding RNA, 27 nt
Filed under: Mus musculus (house mouse)
Lineage: Eukaryota; Metazoa; Chordata; Mammalia; Rodentia; Muridae
Source: RNAcentral
UGUUGGUUCCCGAGCCAAGAGCUCCAA